Molecule: ribosomal RNA, 246 nt
Filed under: uncultured bacterium
Lineage: Bacteria
Description: partial 16S ribosomal RNA
Rfam family: Bacterial small subunit ribosomal RNA
Source: RNAcentral
CGUAGGGGGCAAGCGUUGUCCGGAUUCAUUGGGCGUAAAGAGCUCGAGGCGGUUCAGUAAGUCGGGUGUGAAAGCUCCGAGCUCAACUCGGAGAGGCCACCCGAUACUGCUGUGACUUGAGUCCAGUAGAGGAGCGUGGAACUCCUGGUGUAGCGGUGGAAUGCGCAGAUAUCAGGAAGAACACCUGCAGCGAAGGCGGCGCUCUGGGCUGGAACUGACGCUGAGGAGCGAAAGCGUGGGUAGCAA